Molecule: ribosomal RNA, 744 nt
Filed under: uncultured Gammaproteobacteria bacterium
Lineage: Bacteria; Pseudomonadati; Pseudomonadota; Gammaproteobacteria
Description: bacterial SSU rRNA
Rfam family: Bacterial small subunit ribosomal RNA
Source: RNAcentral
AGUCGUGCGAGAAAGUAUCUUCGGAUAUGAGUAGAGCGGCGGACGGGUGAGUAACGCGUAGGAAUCUACCUAGUAGAAGGGGAUAGCCCGGGGAAACUCGGAUUAAUACCGUAUACCUCCUUCGGGAGAAAGAAGGCCUCUCUUUGAUGCUUUCGCUAUUAGAUGAGCCUGCGUAAGAUUAGCUUGUUGGUGAGGUAAAGGCUCACCAAGGCGACGAUCUUUAGCUGGUCUGAGAGGACGAUCAGCCACAUUGGGACUGAGACACGGCCCAGACUCCUACGGGAGGCAGCAGUGGGGAAUAUUGGACAAUGGGCGCAAGCCUGAUCCAGCCAUACCGCGUGUGUGAAGAAGGCCUUCGGGUUGUAAAGCACUUUAAGCAGGGAGAAAAAGUUAUAAGUUAAUACCUUAUAGCCGUGAUGUUACCUGCAGAAUAAGCACCGGCUAAUUCCGUGCCAGCAGCCGCGGUAAUACGGAAGGUGCAAGCGUUAAUCGGAAUUACUGGGCGUAAAGCGCGCGUAGGUGGUUUGUUAAGUUGGAUGUGAAAGCCCUGGGCUCAACCUAGGAACUGCAUCCAAAACUAACUCACUAGAGUACGAUAGAGGGAGGUAGAAUUCAUAGUGUAGCGGUGGAAUGCGUAGAUAUUAUGAAGAAUACCAGUGGCGAAGGCGGCCUCCUGGAUCUGUACUGACACUGAGGUGCGAAAGCGUGGGUAGCGAACAGGAUUAGAUACCCUGGUAGAAGGGC